GCUUGUAUGAGACGGGGUAAGUA
RNAcentral lists this small nuclear RNA (23 nucleotides) under Arabidopsis thaliana (thale cress). Its description in RNAcentral is "snRNA_19029". Lineage: Eukaryota; Viridiplantae; Streptophyta; Magnoliopsida; Brassicales; Brassicaceae. The record is from RNAcentral.